GAAGACUCCGGGCCGUCGCUGAAGACUCCGGGCUGCGGGCCGUCUCAGGAGGUUCCGGGCUGCGGGCCGUCUCAGGAGGUUCCGGACUGGGAACUGUCGCCGGAAGCUCUGGACUGGGAACUGUCGCCGGAAGCUCUGGCCUGGGAACUGUCGUCGGAAGCUCUGGACUGGGAACGUGCACUGGAGGCCUGAUGCGUGGGGCUGGCAUAGGUGGCGCCAGACUAGUAACACGCAACUCAGGGCGAGUGAGGGGAGCAGGAACAGGACACCCCGGACUGAGCAGGUGCACUGGAGGCCUGAUGCGUGGGGCUGGCAUAGGUGGCACCAGACUGGUAACACGCACCUCAGGGCAAGUGCGGGAAGCAGGAACAGGGCGUACCAGGCUGGAUAGACUCACUGGAGACCGGGUACGUGGGGCAGGCACAGGAUAUACUGGACCGUGGAGGCGCACUGGAGGUCUCGAGCGUAGAGCUGGCACAACCCGUCCUGGCUGGAUGCUUACUUUCGCCCGGCAAACGCGGGGAGCUGGCACAGGACGAACUGGGCUGUGAAUACGCACUGGCGACACAGUGCGCAGCGCCGGCGCAGGAUAUCCUGGACCGAGAAGGCGAACUGGAGACCAGGAGCGCUGAGCUGGCACCACCCUUCCUGGCUGAAUGCUCAACCGAGCUCGGCAAAUGCAGGGCGCGGGCACAGAUCACACCGGGCUGUGAAUAACACGAAUAACACGCAUAACACGGUGCUUGCUUCGUCACUCGCUCCCCAAGGUAAGCACGGGGAGUUGGCUCAGGUCUCCACCCUGGCUCUGCCAAUCUCCCCGUGUGCCCCCCCGCCUCUCGGGCUUCCGUCGUUGCUGUGACUCCCU
This 865-nucleotide long non-coding RNA is filed under the name Salmo salar (Atlantic salmon). RNAcentral describes it as "lncRNA (ENSSSAG00000100839.1)". The record is from RNAcentral. Lineage: Eukaryota; Metazoa; Chordata; Actinopteri; Salmoniformes; Salmonidae.